CUUGAACGCUGGCUGCAGGCCUAACACAUGCAAGUCGAACGAGUGGCGGACGGGUGAGUAAUGUCUGGAAAACUGCCCGAUGGAGGGGGAUAAAUCCUGGAAACGGUAGCUAAUACCGCAUACCAUCGGAGGUGCCCAGAUGGGAUGAGCUAGUAGGUGGGGUAAAGGCUCACCUAGGCUACCUUCCAUAGCUGGUCUGAGAGGAUGACCAGCAACACUGGAACUGAGACACGGUCCAGACUCCUCCGGUAGGCAGCAGUGGGGAAUAUUGCACAAGGGGCGCAAGCCUGAUGCAGCCAUGCAGCGUGUAUGAAGAAGGCCGUCGGGUUGUAGAGUUCUUUCAGCGAGGAGGCGUUACUCGCAGAAGAAGCACCGGCUAAGUCCGUGCUAGCAGCCGCGGUAAUUC
This 406-nucleotide ribosomal RNA is filed under the name uncultured bacterium. RNAcentral describes it as "partial 16S ribosomal RNA". It matches the Rfam family "Bacterial small subunit ribosomal RNA", at positions 30 to 526 of the family's 1533-position model. The record is from RNAcentral.